GGAUGAAUUUGCAAAUUGCCCUUUCUAACUCUGUGAAGAAUUAAUUGAGUUGGAAUUCUGAUGGAAAUUGCAGUGAAUCUGUAGAUUGCUUUCGGCAAGAUAGCCAUCUUUACUAUAUUAAUCCUGCCAAUCCAUGAGCAUGGGAGAUCUUUCCAUCUUCUGAUAUCUUCUUUGAUUUCUUUCUUCAGAGACUUGAAGUUCUUAUCAUACAGAUCUUUCCUUAGUUAGAUUCACGCCAAGGUAUUUAAUAUUAUUUGUGACUAUUGUGGAGGGUGUUGUUUCCCUAAUUUCUUUCUCAGUCUGUUUAUCCUUUGUGUAGAGAAAGGCCACUGAUUUGUUUGAGUUAAUUUUAUAUCCAGCUAUUUAGCUGAAGAUGUUUAACAGAUUCCACUCUGGUGGAAUUUUUGGGGUCAUUUAUAUAUACUAUCAUAUCAUCUGCAAAUAGUGAUAUUUUUAUUUAUUCCUUUCCAAAUUGUAUACCUUUGAUCUCUUUUUGUUGUCUAAUUGCUCUGGCUAGGACUUCAAGUACUAUAUGCAAUAGGUAGGUGAGAGUACACAGCCUUUUCUAGUCCCAGAUUUUAGUGUGGUUGCUUCAAGUUUCUCUCUAUUAAUUUUUUUCUUUUUUCUUUUGUUUUUUCAAGACAGGGUUUCUCUGUAUUGCUCUGGCUGUCCUGGAACUCACUUUGUAGACCAGGCUGGCCUUGAACUCAGAAAUUCACCUGCCUCUGCCUCCCAAGUGCUGGGAUUAAAGGUGUGCACCACCACGCCCAGCUUUCUCCAUUAAUUUUGAUGUUGUCUACUGGUUUGCUGUAUAUUCCUUUUAUUUUGUUUAGGUAUGGGCCUUGAAUUCUUGAUCUUUUCAAGACUUUUAAAAUGAAGGGGUGUUGGAUUUUGUCAAAUGCUUUCUCAGCAUCUAAUGAGAUGAUCAUAUGUUUUUUUUUGUUGUUGUUGUUGUUGAGUUUGUUUAUAUAAUGGAUUAUGUUAAUGGAUUUCUGUAUGCUGAACCAUCCCUGGAUCCCUAAAAUGAAGCCUACUUGAUCAUGAUCGAUGAUCAUUAUGAUGUGUCCUUGGAUUUUGUUUGCGAGAAUUUUAUUGAGUACUUUUGCAUCAAUAUUCAUAAGGGAAAUUGAUCUGAAGUUCUCUUUUUUUGUUGGGACUUUGUGUUGUUGAGGUAUCAGAGUAAUUGUAGCUUCAUAGAAUGAAUUUGGUAGAGUUCUUUUGUUUCUAGUUUGUGGAAUAGUUUGAGGAGUAUUGAUAUUAGGUCUUUUUUGAAGGUCUGCUAGAACUCUGCAAUAAACCCAUAUGGUCCUGGGCUUUUUAUGAUUGGGUGACUAUUAAUGACUGUUUCUAUUUCUUUAGAGGAUAUUGCACUGUUUAAAUCAUUAAUCUGAUCCUGAUUUAACUUUGGUACCUGGUAUCUGUCUUCAAAAUUGUCCAUUUUAUCCCAGUUUUCCAGUUUUGUUGAGUAUAGUAUUUUGUGGUUGGAUCUGAUGAUUUUUAUGUUGUUAUGUCUCCCUUUUCAUUUUUGAUUUUGUUAAUUAGCAUACUGUCCCUGUGCCCUCUAGUUAGUCUGACCAAGCGUUUAUCUAUUUUGUUGAUUUUCUCAAAGAACCAGCUUCGGGAUUGGUUGAUUCUUUUUUUUUAAUUUGUUUUUUUAAUUAGGUAUUUUAUUCAUUUACUUAUCAAAUUCUAUCCCACAAAUCCCCCAGACUCCCCCCCAUUCCCCUAACCACCCACUCCCACUUCUUGGCCCUGGUGUUCCCCCAUACUGAGGCAUAUAAAGUUUGUAAGACCGAGGGGUCCCUCUUCCCAAUGAUGGCCAACUAGGCCAUCUUCUGCUACAUAUGCAACUAGAGACACGAGCUCCUGGGGUCCUGGUUACCUAUAGGGUUGCAGACCCCUUUAGCUUCUUGGGUACUUUCUUUAGCUCCUCCUUUGGGGGCCCUGUGUUCCAUCCAAUAACUGACUGUGAGCAUCCACAGGCCUUGGCAUAGCCUCACAAGAGACAGCUAUAUGAGGGUCCUUUCAGCAAAAUCUUGCUGGUGUAUGCAAUGGUAUCAGCGUUUGGAGGCUGAUUAUGGGAUAGAUCCUGAAUGGUUUUGUUCAAUUCCUUCUUCUGUUUGGUUGUGUUUUCCUGUAAUUCUUUAAGGGAUUUUUGUGUUUCCUUUUAUGGGCUUCUACCUGUUUACCUGUGUUCUUCUGUAACCCUUUAAGGGAUUCUUAUAUUUCCUCUUUAAGAGCUUCCACCUGUUUAACUGUGUUCUCCUGUAUUUCUUUAAGGGAGUUAUUCAUGUAAUUAAAAUCCUCUACCAGCAUCAUGAGAUAUGAUUUUAAAUCUGAAUUUGCUUUUCCGGUAUGUUAGCAUAUCCAGCACUUGCUGUGGUGAGAGUACUGAGUUCUGAUGAUGCCAAGUACUCUUGGUUUCUAUUGGUAAGAUUCUUAUGUUUGCCAUUGGCCAUCUAGUAAUCUCUUGUGUUAGAUGUUCUUGCUGUCUCUGGCUGGAGCUUGUUCCUCUUGUG
RNAcentral lists this long non-coding RNA (2519 nucleotides) under Mus musculus (house mouse). RNAcentral describes it as "long non-coding RNA chrX:96783122-96785641". Lineage: Eukaryota; Metazoa; Chordata; Mammalia; Rodentia; Muridae. The record is from RNAcentral.